Molecule: ribosomal RNA, 304 nt
Filed under: uncultured Francisella sp.
Lineage: Bacteria; Pseudomonadati; Pseudomonadota; Gammaproteobacteria; Thiotrichales; Francisellaceae
Description: bacterial SSU rRNA
Rfam family: Bacterial small subunit ribosomal RNA
Source: RNAcentral
AUUGAACGCUGGUGGCAUGCUUAACACAUGCAAGUCGAACGGUAACAGGAGAAGCUUGCUUCUUGCUGACGAGUGGCGGACGGGUGAGUAACGCGUAGGAAUCUGCCCAUCUGUGGGGGAUACCAGUUGGAAACGACUGUUAAUACCGCAUAAUAUCUGCGGAUUAAAGGUGGCCUUUGUGCUGCCGCAGAUGGAUGAGCCUGCGUUGGAUUAGCUUGUUGGUGGGGUAAAGGCCUACCAAGGCUACGAUCCAUAGCUGAUUUGAGAGGAUGAUCAGCCACAUUGGGACUGAGACACGGCCCAA